This 217-nucleotide ribosomal RNA is filed under the name uncultured bacterium. Its description in RNAcentral is "partial 16S ribosomal RNA". It matches the Rfam family "Bacterial small subunit ribosomal RNA", at positions 30 to 239 of the family's 1533-position model. The record is from RNAcentral.
AUUGAACGCUGGCGGCAUGCCUUACACAUGCAAGUCGAACGGCAGCACGGGGGCAACCCUGGUGGCGAGUGGCGAACGGGUGAGUAAUGCAUCGGAACGUGUCCUCUUGUGGGGAGUAACCAGUCGAAAGAUUGGCUAAUACCGCAUGAGAUCGAGAGAUGAAAGCGGGGACCGGAGGGUAACUUCGGCCUCGCGCGAGAGGAGCGGCCGAUGCCGA